This 74-nucleotide transfer RNA is filed under the name Nanobdellota archaeon. RNAcentral's name for it is "tRNA-Ala". It matches the Rfam family "tRNA". From Rfam's summary of the family: Transfer RNA (tRNA) molecules are approximately 80 nucleotides in length. Their secondary structure includes four short double-helical elements and three loops (D, anti-codon, and T loops). The record is from RNAcentral. Lineage: Archaea; Nanobdellati; Nanobdellota.
GGGCCGGUGAUCCAACCUGGUUAAGAUGUCGCCUUCGCAAGGCGGAAAUCUGGGUUCAAAUCCCAGCCGGUCCA